Long non-coding RNA from Schistocerca gregaria, 1058 nucleotides. RefSeq lists it as uncharacterized. The record is from RefSeq and is a predicted model, not a curated record. The transcript has 3 exons. Lineage: Eukaryota; Metazoa; Arthropoda; Insecta; Orthoptera; Acrididae.
CGCGCAAUUAUAAAAGAAAAUUUUCAGAACUCAAACGUCAUGAUGAGGGGCAAACACCCAACUUUUAUGAAACCAAAAAACGAGAGGUAUCUGGCCGGACAAAAGACAAUGAAUGCGAUCAAGAAGAGUUGGCGCUUUCUGAUAUUCUAAUGGUUAUUCAAGUUCUGUGCUCUCAAUUUCCCAAGAACGAAGAAUCGCUCAAUGGGAUCAUCCCGGUCGUUUUAAAUUCGCAGAUUUAUUAUUCAAUCGUCGAUAAAACUUUCGUCGAUAGAGAAGUGAGCCGCUUGCAGCGCACAGGCCAAAUUCGUAUAUUUGGCAUUCCUGAGUCUCAGCUAAAAGAAUGCGCUAUCGUACUAUCUACUGACUUGGUCGCCCUGAUUCAGAAGCUCGAAGAUAACGAAAACUGCUUCGAGGCUAAACGGAUUUUUAGCGCGUUUACGCGAGUCAUAAGUUCAUAUUAUUUAACACACAUAUCAACUAAUGAGCUGAUAAAGAGACUAGGAAUAAAUGAUUCAGACAGAGAAAAGUACCUUUCAAUGCUUCUCCAUUCUGGACUUAUUGGGAGACGAGAUGUUCACUCCUAUUGGUUCACUAUCCCAAAUUUUGGAUCUUUGUAUAAGUGGGUUUUGAAGGGAAGAGAAUUCAUAAAAGACAUACUGAGGCGUUGCAAAUUUCAAGAAAUGACACAAGAUCAACUUUUACAAAAAAGGCUGAGAAAAGACCCUUUCAAUAUGCUGUUUCACUUAAAAGAUGCCAUUGGAUUGGGUAUUGUAUUGAGGUAUGCACACUCUCUAUAAUUCUUGUGCUGUGAAGCAAAAGACAGGUACAAGCAUGCUAACCAUUUUGUACCAAGACUGGAAGGGCCUUCAGAAGUGCUGAUACACCUUGAGUCACAAUAAAUCAAAAUUGUGCAUAUCUUUGUCUCUCAAUAUUAUAUACAUAAACGUAAACAUAGAGGUGCUGCUCCGUCAGCAGAGAUUCACCUAGAUGUAUUAUUGUGUCAGGCUUGCUAUUUCGCGAGGGAUGCAAGAUCUGAUUUUUAACAGUAAUUUACAUUG